AUCAGGAACCAUGGCUCACUGGAGCACCAUCUUUGGAGUCUAGCUAACACAGCAUCUUGGAUGCACUCCUAAGAGAAGACUACCUGAAAGGCGUGUACACUGGUCUAGCAGUUGAGAUCAGCUAGUGUUCCAUCUAUCUUCUGUCAUGUCUUUUCUAGGUCAUCAUUCUAGGCUUUGUUGAAGCAUGCAUUUUUGGCAUGAGGGUGGCAGCCUUUGCACUAUGUGCAUGGCUGAGGAGUUAGGAUCUGGAGGGUGAUGAAAGCAAAGGUGCUGCUGGUUACUCUUGGUUCAUCUAGCAAUAGAUGAUCUGAAUGUUAGAGUUCGCCAAAUAUUGUUCCUGGGCAGUCUUUGCUCUACCAAAUCAACUUUCUCCAUGGGGGAGCUAGAAGUCACCCCACAUUCUCCGCCAUGGCCAGCUCUACAUUCUAAGAGAACCAAUGGCUCUACCCAACAUAUUCUUCUCACCACAGAUGACAAAGACACAAGGAGCCAAGACAGAUCAUUCAAGCAUAUUCAUUGCCUCUAUCUUCAUCCCAUUAAAUAACAUCCCGCCAACCAAAGCAAGUUAUCUGCAUAAGAAUAAAUAUUCCACCUACUC
RNAcentral lists this long non-coding RNA (598 nucleotides) under Homo sapiens (human). RNAcentral's name for it is "long intergenic non-protein coding RNA 2465". Lineage: Eukaryota; Metazoa; Chordata; Mammalia; Primates; Hominidae. The record is from RNAcentral.